AACGAACGCUGGCGGCAUGCCUAACACAUGCAAGUCGAACGAGACCUUCGGGUCUAGUGGCGCACGGGUGCGUAACGCGUGGGAACCUGCCCUUAGGUUCGGAAUAACUCCCCGAAAGGGGUGCUAAUACCGGAUAAUGUCUUCGGACCAAAGAUUUAUCGCCUUUGGAUGGGCCCGCGUUGGAUUAGCUAGUUGGUAGGGUAAAAGCCUACCAAGGCGACGAUCCAUAGCUGGUCUGAGAGGAUGAUCAGCCACACUGGGACUGAGACACGGCCCAGACUCCUACGGGAAGCAGCAGUGGGGAAUAUUGGACUAUGGGCGAAAGCCUGAUCCAGCAAUGCCGCGUGAGUGAUGAAGGCCUUAGGGUUGUAAAGCUCUUUUACCCGGGAUGAUAAUGACAGUACCGGGAGAAUAAGCUCCGGCUAACUCCGUG
This 433-nucleotide ribosomal RNA is filed under the name uncultured bacterium. Its description in RNAcentral is "partial 16S ribosomal RNA". It matches the Rfam family "Bacterial small subunit ribosomal RNA", at positions 29 to 507 of the family's 1533-position model. The record is from RNAcentral.